GACGAACCGUGCGAACGUUGUUCGGAAUCACUGGGCUUAAAGGGCGCGUAGGCGGGCCAUAAAGUCAGGGGUGAAAUCCUCCAGCUUAACUGGAGAACUGCCUUUGAUACUGAUGGUCUCGAGUAAGGUAGGGGCAUGCGGAACUGAUGGUGGAGCGGUGAAAUGUGUUGAUAUCAUCAGGAACUCCGGUGGCGAAGGCGGCAUGCUGGGCAGUAGCUGACACUGAGGCGCGACAGCGUGGGGAGCAAACAGG
This 253-nucleotide ribosomal RNA is filed under the name uncultured bacterium. RNAcentral describes it as "partial 16S ribosomal RNA". It matches the Rfam family "Bacterial small subunit ribosomal RNA", at positions 524 to 776 of the family's 1533-position model. The record is from RNAcentral.